This 497-nucleotide ribosomal RNA is filed under the name uncultured bacterium. RNAcentral's name for it is "partial 16S ribosomal RNA". It matches the Rfam family "Bacterial small subunit ribosomal RNA", at positions 28 to 507 of the family's 1533-position model. The record is from RNAcentral.
GAUGAACGCUGGCGGCGUGCCUAAUACAUGCAAGUCGAGCGAACGGACGAGAAGCUUGCUUCUCUGAUGUUAGCGGCGGACGGGUGAGUAACACGUGGAUAACCUACCUAUAAGACUGGGAUAACUUCGGGAAACCGGCGCUAAUACCGGAUAAUAUUUUGAACCGCAUGGUUCAAAAGUGAAAGACGGUCUUGCUGUCACUUAUAGAUGGAUCCGGGCUGCAUUAGCUAGUUGGUAAGGUAACGGCUUACCAAGGCAACGAUGCAUAGCCGACCUGAGAGGGGGAUCGCCCACACGGGAAGUGAGACACGGUCCAGACGCCUACGGGAGGCAGCAGUAGGGAAUCUUCCGCAGUGGGCGAGAGCCUGACGGAGCAACGCCGCGUGAGUGAUGAAGGUCUUCGGAUCGUAAAACUCUGUUAUUAGGGAAGAACAUAUGUGUAAGUAACUGUGCACAUCUUGACGGUACCUAAUCAGAAAGCCACGGCUAACUACGUG